Molecule: ribosomal RNA, 373 nt
Filed under: uncultured bacterium
Lineage: Bacteria
Description: bacterial SSU rRNA
Rfam family: Bacterial small subunit ribosomal RNA
Source: RNAcentral
UAAUACGUAGGGUGCAAGCGUUGUCCGGAUUUAUUGGGUUUAAAGGGUGCGUAGGCGGCCCUGUAAGUCAGUGGUGAAAUACUCCAGCUUAACUGGAGGGGUGCCAUUGAUACUGCAGGGCUUGAGUUAAGUUGAAGUUGGCGGAAUUGACGGUGUAGCGGUGAAAUGCUUAGAUAUCGUCAAGAACACCGAUAGUGAAGACAGCUAACUAAACUUUUACUGACGCUGAGGCACGAAAGUGUGGGGAUCAAACAGGAUUAGAUACCCUGGUAGUCCACACUGUAAACGUUGAUUACUCGCUGUGUGCGAUAUACAGUACGCGGCCAAGCGAAAGCGAUAAGUAAUCCACCUGGGGAGUACGCCGGCAACGGUG